GACGAACGCUGGCGGCGCGCCUAACACAUGCAAGUCGAACGAGCGAGAGAGAGCUUGCUUUCUCGAGCGAGUGGCGAACGGGUGAGUAACGCGUGAGGAACCUGCCUCAAAGAGGGGGACAACAGUUGGAAACGACUGCUAAUACCGCAUAAGCCCACGACCCGGCAUCGGGUAGAGGGAAAAGGAGCAAUCCGCUUUGAGAUGGCCUCGCGUCCGAUUAGCUAGUUGGUGAGGUAACGGCCCACCAAGGCGACGAUCGGUAGCCGGACUGAGAGGUUGAACGGCCACAUUGGGACUGAGACACGGCCCAGACUCCUACGGGAGGCAGCAGUGGGGAAUAUUGCACAAUGGGGGAAACCCUGAUGCAGCGACGCCGCGUGGAGGAAGAAGGUCUUCAGAUUGUAAACUCCUGUUGUUGAGGAAGAUAAUGACGGUACUCAACAAGGAAGUGACGGCUAACUACGUG
This 466-nucleotide ribosomal RNA is filed under the name uncultured bacterium. RNAcentral's name for it is "partial 16S ribosomal RNA". It matches the Rfam family "Bacterial small subunit ribosomal RNA", at positions 28 to 507 of the family's 1533-position model. The record is from RNAcentral.